GACGAACGCUGGCGGAGUGCUUAACACAUGCAAGUCGAACGGAAAGGCCUCUUUCGGGGGGUACUCGAGUGGCGAACGGGUGAGUAACACGUGAGUAACCUGCCCUUGACUUUGGGAUAACUUCAGGAAACUGGGGCUAAUACCGGAUAGGAGCUCCUGCUGCAUGGUGGGGGUUGGAAAGUUUCGGCGGUUGGGGAUGGACUCGCGGCUUAUCAGCUUGUUGGUGGGGUAGUGGCUUACCAAGGCUUUGACGGGUAGCCGGCCUGAGAGGGUGACCGGCCACAUUGGGACUGAGAUACGGCCCAGACUCCUACGGGAGGCAGCAGUGGGGAAUAUUGCACAAUGGGUGGAAGCCUGAUGCAGCAACGCCGUGUGCGGGAUGACGGCCUUCGGGUUGUAAACCGCUUUCGCUCAUGACGAAGCUUUGUGUGACGGUAGUGGGUAAAGAAGCACCGGCUAACUACGUG
This 467-nucleotide ribosomal RNA is filed under the name uncultured bacterium. RNAcentral's name for it is "partial 16S ribosomal RNA". It matches the Rfam family "Bacterial small subunit ribosomal RNA", at positions 28 to 507 of the family's 1533-position model. The record is from RNAcentral.